Molecule: ribosomal RNA, 121 nt
Organism: Galdieria sulphuraria
Lineage: Eukaryota; Rhodophyta; Bangiophyceae; Galdieriales; Galdieriaceae
Source: Rfam
ACGUACGGCCAUACUAGUGGCACAUGCGCCUGAACCCAUUUCGAAUUCAGAAGCUAAGCGCCCUCAGGCUUGGUUAGUACUGAGGUGAGGGAUCACUCGGGAACCCCAAGUGCCGCACGUU